AUCAAGCAUCCAUCCUCCAGUGUUAAAAGCUGACUCAAACACUAUAAUGGAAAUACAUAUAGCAAACACAUCACUAGCAAUAUUUGAGAAAAUUCAGUACUUAGUGCAACUUAACUUCCUCCAAUGCAAAACUCAAAAUGGGUCACCAUCAUCACAAGUGAGGUCUAGCAAAUAUUGAUCUAUCUCUUUUUUCAUAUCAUCAAUAGCAUAUUUCCUCGUAACUUCUUAAAGUGGGUCUUCAUCAUGUUAAUAAAUCCACUUUCAACUUACUUUUUAACUACUACCUCACUUGACAAUUAGAUAUCACUAGGAAGUGCAGCAUGUGUAAAAUCACUAGACAUUGAAUCUAAACUACAGUAAUGCUCAUAAAAUUCAACGAAUGACUCCUUAAUCUUUGCCAUCACUUUCUCCACCUCUACAACAUCAUUUAGAUUUUCAAGACAAGAGCUCACAUACUCUAACUUGUACUGCGGAUAAAGUACAACAAUAAUGAUGAAUUUUUUUAAUAUUUUCAACAGUAUCCCAAUACUUAUCAAACUUUGCUCUCAUUUUACAAUGCCCACUCCUCAAAACAACAACAUCAUCAUUUUCACGUGAAUAAUGCUAAGACUUAGUUUUAUUUUGUGUCCAAAAAAGCAUGUGAUAAAAUAACAAUUGUUGAAAUUCAUAAAAUUUAUUUAUUCAUUAUUUAUUUGAGCAUAUAUUACCCACCUUAUUUAUUCGAACUUGGACAUAUGAUGUUUCUACUAGAACAUAUAAAUCACAGGUUCUUUAUAAAUAAAAGAUUGUUUACCGCUAUUAAUAAAAUGUGCAUUUCAUUAUGUAAAACUGCAACUUCUCUACUUUUAUUGUGAAUGAUUUUAUUUUGAUCAUUGAAGUGGAGAUUUCAAGUAGAGUAGUUAAUAUAUAAAUGUGAUAUGCAUACUGAACUAGAUUAUAGUGAAUUAUGAUAUAGUUUAACAAAUGUUGUUGAUCUUAAUUCACAUAAGCUUUAAUAAGGUUAAUCAACCUUAAUGUUGAGUUGGAAAUGAAAUUGCAUUCAUAUAUUAUGUCUUUUGAGUUAUCACGGAAUGAGAUCCAUAUAAAUGGUCAAAAUCCCGAUACUUGAAGAUGCAAUUUCAUGGAUCAUGGGAACAUAUGCUUACAAGAUGGAAUCUAAACUAAUGAUGCUUACCUAAGUUAUUUGUGUUGCUUGAUCAUUUAAAUCUGUGGCCACAAUUUAUUCAAUAAAUUAUUUAUUGAAUAAUAAUAUUUAUUUAUAAAUAAAUUUACAAAUAUAGAUAUAUUACAAGUGAUCAUUAGAACAAGUACUUAAGGGUACAUAUGUAAUUAUAGAGACAUGACAUUUGUCAUUGCUUACCUUUAAUUACAAGCGUCAAAUAGAAGGUCAAUUAAGUGAUUAUUAUUAGUCUAUGACCAAAGUUAAAAUUAAUUAAAAGGAGUUUUAAUUAAUUAGGUUUUUAUUUAAUUGCAUGGGUUACUAGAGUGCACCUUUAGACUUUUAGUGGAAUAGUCUGGGUUUAACUUAAUAGUUUUAGUGUGUCAUGAGAUGACUGACCUUGACUUCUGAGUUGGAGACAAAAAGCCCAUGGGUCAUUAGUCCUUCAGUACUUCUGCUAAAUCAAUUCCUAGUCAAACCCUGAUUCUAAAAAAUGUCUAUAUAAAGAAGAGGAAAUUAGAAUAGAAAUAUGACUCUUAUAUAUAGAUAUUUUUGGAAGAAAAAAUAGAGUUUUACUGUUUCCAUCUCCUACACAGUAAUUAGGGCUUUUUACAUGCCCACACGUGUAAGGGAGACAAUUGAGGAUAGUAGAGAAGAUAGUAACUUUAUUAUGCAAAUCUCAACAAUGGUGGUGGAAAAUAUUGCAAUCGCCUUGUUCAAAUCUUCAACAAGAGAUCAAGAUAUUUCUCCAACCCUAUGCAUGUAUAUAUAAUCAAGAAAAAGUUCCUAACUUUUGCUUAUUCUAUAAACUAGAAAAUUUAUUUUUCUAUGCCUGAUUUUAACCAACAAUAAAACUAUUUGUGAUAGGAUGGUAGUGAGAUGAUGAAAAUACAAAUUAGAAGUUACUGUCAAUGAAGCUAGAAGUUACUAUCGAUAAAGCACAAAUUACAUGACCAUAUCAUCGAAAGUCUUCAAAUAACAAAGUGAAAAUUUCAGUAUUCUUUCAAUCUACUUAUGUUGGCGGUCUUUCCCUCUUACCUUUUAUUCCUAUUUUUAGUUUCAGAGAAAAAGUUUGCAAAUGGCCCGUCAUUUUCUUCUUCGCCUAAUCUGUCAAAUGCUUUUCGAAAUCUCAGUAUAGUAGACAACAUCAUGUAGGUAGAAUUCCACCAAGUUGGCACAUCUAACACCAACAUCCCUUUAUCCUCUGGUAACAACGUGCACACCAUCAAAAAUGUAAAAUAUUUGCCCUCUCUAAAAUCAAGCCACUUUUAUCCUAGUUCAUUAGCUUCUUCUUCACAUAACUCACUACCACAUCAUUAGCACUCAACUAUUAAUUGUGUAAUGGUUAUCAAACGCUUUAUCCUCCAAAUCUAGCAAAAUCAAGUUUCAAUGAUUUUUUUCAAUUGCAUCCCUUAUAUGAUUUGUUGUUUGAAAAAAAAAACCUAGUAACCUUUUUUGCAACUCCUAAUUUACAUCAACCCAACAGCAGCAACCACCAUGUACCCCAUAUUAUUAGUCGAAGUCCAAGUGUUAGAAUUGAUGUUAAUCCUUUGCUAAUUUGCAAUAAAAUAGCUUUUCAAUUUCUUUUUUCUCAUCCAAAAAAGCUAAAAGAUAUCCCUAACUGAAGUUCUUUGAUAUGAGGGUUCAGACUUUGGACACAACGCGCUCAACCGAAGGCAAAAUCUCGGUGCUUCAAAAUAGCUUCUUACUAAGGACAAAGUAAUCAGUAGUCAUCAACCUACGUGCUUCUUUUCAAACCUAUUCAAAAGAGAGAAACUAUCAUAUCUUGAACUAGGACCAUUGGCAUGGCUGAGACUCAACUCUCAUUUGAUAGGGAUUUAUUUGACUCCCCGCUUUAAGGAUAGAAUAGAUUUCCCUCCCAUAUUAAAGUGAAGGUUGUUGUUCACGCUAUGCCAUCUUAGAAUUACAAAAAAGAGUCUUGAUUGAUGUCAAGUUGUAAAAAUAUCAAUAGAGUUCUGAUUGUAAUAUAUCAAUACAUAAAAAAAAAAAAAACUAACCCACAUCGCAUUUUCACAAACUAAAAGAAAACAAAAUCAACAUAGCAAGUUUAUUUACAUUUAAUAAAAGGAGAGAAAACUAGUAAGCAACAUAUAAUUUUAAAUCUGUCAUAGGUAGGAUAUAAUAUUAAGCAACCAAGAUAGAUAAUAUUGUAACAAUAUAUCCAAAUUUUCAUUUGAUUUUACAAAUAAAUUAAGUAGGAAGAGAAGUUAAAAUUCAAUUAGAUGCAUCAAUUAAAACAAGUAUGCAUUAUAAAAAAAUAAAUUAAAAAAGACUGCCUAAUCUUUUAAAAGUUCAUAACCAAAAUGAGGUAAUGGUGGUUGAUUCAUUUGUCUCGCUAGAAGUUAUAGCAAGCCAGUGGGUAAUGUCGUAAUGGUGCUUGAUCUCAAUAAUAAUAAUAAUAAUAAUAAAGAAAAAAAAUAAAGAAGUAUCAAGCUCAAAGUCAGCGAAUUACAAGCUUUUAUUUAUAAUUUUUGGUUUGGUCGGAUUCAAUCGGUUUGAAUUUGGCUAAACCGACUCCGAAUGGAACAAGCUUGGAUUGAGAUAUUGUAAAUAGAGAUGGCCAAUAGGCUUAACCGUGCUGGCCCGACCCAUCAAAGCAAGACCCAUGCAUGGCCGUGCCCGUCUCGUGUCAUGCCCACUAUGUGUUUCGUGCCGUGCCUAAUUGUUUUUUGCUUAAGCCUGACCCAGCACACGUGUCAUGCCUAUACGUGUCGUGCUGUGCCUAAGAAAAAAAGCUCAAUAAGUUUUUUUCUUUUCUUUUAAUUUUUUAAGAGCGUGUGCCAAGCUGUUGGCAUACUUUUUUUAAGUCUAAGGAAUUUUUUUUCGAUUUAUGCCUUGAUUCAAAUUUGAUAAAAUCGAAAAUUCAAAACUCAAGUUCAUAUUCAAUAAUAAUAAACUAAUAAUAGUAAGAGAAUGUAAU
Molecule: long non-coding RNA, 4100 nt
Filed under: Citrus x clementina
Lineage: Eukaryota; Viridiplantae; Streptophyta; Magnoliopsida; Sapindales; Rutaceae
Description: Citrus clementina (C. clementina) long non-coding RNA (CCLE_LNC002564)
Source: RNAcentral